GACGAACGCUGGCGGCGUGCUUAACACAUGCAAGUCGAACGGAAAGGCCCUGCUUUUGUGGGGUGCUCGAGUGGCGAACGGGUGAGUAACACGUGAGUAACCUGCCCUUGACUUUGUGAUAACUUCAGGAAACUGGGGCUCAUACCGCAUAGGAUCUCCUGCUGCAUGGUGGGGGUUGGAAAGUUUCGGCGGUUGGGGCUGGACUCGCGGCUUAUCAGCUUGUUUGUGGGGUAGUGGCUUACCAAGGCUUUGACGGGUAGCCGGCCUGAGAGGGUGACCGGCGACAUGGGGACUGAGAUACGGACCAGACGGGUACGGGAGGCAGCAGUGGGGAAUAUGGCACAAUGGGCGGAAGUCUGAGGCAGCAACGCCGCGUGCGGGAUGACGGCCUUCGGGUUGUAAACAGCUUUCGACUGUGACGAAGAGUGAGUGACGGUAAUGGGUAAAGAAGCACCGGCUAACUACGUG
This 468-nucleotide ribosomal RNA is filed under the name uncultured bacterium. RNAcentral describes it as "partial 16S ribosomal RNA". It matches the Rfam family "Bacterial small subunit ribosomal RNA", at positions 28 to 507 of the family's 1533-position model. The record is from RNAcentral.